CAGUAGCCGCGGGAAAACGGAGGGUGCAAGCGUUAAUCGGAAUUACUGGGCGUAAAGCGUGCGUAGGCGGUUCGUUAAGUCUGUUGUGAAAGCCCCGGGCUCAACCUGGGAAUGGCAAUGGAUACUGGCGAGCUAGAGUGUGUCAGAGGAUGGUGGAAUUCCCGGUGUAGCGGUGAAAUGCGUAGAGAUCGGGAGGAACAUCAGUGGCGAAGGCGGCCAUCUGGGACAACACUGACGCUGAGGCACGAAAGCGUGGGGAGCAAACAGGAUUAGAUACCCCCGUAGUCCCUGUCUCUUAUAC
This 301-nucleotide ribosomal RNA is filed under the name uncultured bacterium. RNAcentral describes it as "partial 16S ribosomal RNA". It matches the Rfam family "Bacterial small subunit ribosomal RNA", at positions 509 to 807 of the family's 1533-position model. The record is from RNAcentral.